AGAAAUAUGCAUAAAUAUGUGUGUGUAUGAUUGGGUCACUACUGUACAGCAGAAAUUGACACAAUACUGUAAAUCAACUAUAAUUUAAAAAAAAAACAAUUCCCAUAUAAAGGCUCUCUCUGCUUUUUUUAGCUUAUUGCUUCUCAUCUUGGAAAUUGUUUCUCAGAAGACCCAAGCUAAUCCACCUAAUCAUAAUAUACAAGACCCAGAAAACAUCUUAAAUUCUGAUAAAUGAGUGUAACAACGUCUGUUUCCAGAUUGAGUACCUAGAAGGAAAGAAAGCAGAAGUCCCUCAAAAUGUUCUCAGUGGUUUCAAAGAAAAUAUAACCAGAUGACAUGAGGCUUGAAUAGAGGAUAUAGUGGAUAAUACAAACAGAUUUGAAAAUGCUGGGAUUAUAUGCCUCAACUAAGAAGAUAAAAUUAAGGAAGACAACCAGACUUUUUAUGAAGUUACAUUCAGAGUCCAGUGAUAAAGGCAUAAGGUUGAAGUUAAUUAGGAUGGGCAAAUGACAGUAGCAGUUCUGUGCCUGAACAUGAACUUCACUGAUUUGCAGAGACAGAGAGAGAGAAUUGGUUUCCAGUAGUUCCCCCAAAGAGUGAGUAACAUUCUUUGCCACAAAUCUCAAGAUUUGGUAUUUUAACUUUUCUUUUUUAUUUCUUAUUUAAAAAAUUUUAUUGACAUAUAGUUGAUUUUACAAUGUGGUGUUUUCUGUUAUAUGGAGUAGUUAUUUGGUUAUAGAUAUAUAUUUUUUCCUUAUAUAUUAAAUUCCCAGAAGAAGGAUGACUAUUGAAGAAUAUUUGCACAUUUAACUUUUAUAGAUGAGUAGACAUAAAGAUAAAUAGAUCAAUUUAUUUAUAGGUAUAUAGAAAGAGGAUAAAUGUUUGAUUCAAAAGUUUAUUAAUUUCCAGUUCUUUUGGUAUCAGUUUCUACAUUCACUUCAAGGAGAAAAAGAAAAAUUGUCUAUGUGUGUGUUCCAUAUCUUGUUUGCUGACUAAGAGAUUACCAAUUAUCUCUUGGUUAACUUUGCUAACCAAGAGUUAAAUAACUCAAUGAAAUUUUAAAUUGCAUCUAUAUUAAUAGUAAAGAUUGACAUUA
Molecule: long non-coding RNA, 1096 nt
Filed under: Sus scrofa (pig)
Lineage: Eukaryota; Metazoa; Chordata; Mammalia; Artiodactyla; Suidae
Description: lncRNA (ENSSSCG00060059659.1)
Source: RNAcentral